CUGAUGUCACAGCUGAUCUGAGCCAAUCCCUGCCGACCUGGUCACGUGACAGCCUGACGUCCCUGCUGUCCUCAGAUCAGCCUCUGAGGAGGAGCACAGAGAAAAACCUUUUCUCCCAUCUGAGAGCAAAUUUAUCAUGGACAGUGAUGUUUGGACAGAUACCAGGCGAACAGUUGAUGAGUUUAACUCAAGGCUGCAGAGGAAGAAGCAGAAAGUGUGGUGGAGCUCUGAGGACGAGCAGCAGAGCAGCAGAGCACACACUUGUCAGCUGAAAUCAUCCCAGCAGCUUGUCUGGGCUCAGGAGGAACACACAGGACGAGUGCAGCUCUGCAGCAGGGARGCUGCUGUUAGCGUUAGCCGUGGAUGGAUUCUUCGGCUGCUUUAAKAGCUGCAUGGACGACAUUUGGAGCAGAUCGGGGGGUGUUGUUGUGGGAGGAGGCGUUUGGUGCCGUGAGGCCCAGGAGCAUUCAGUAACGUGUCGUUGCUGAGAAGAGCAGAAUAAUCUGGAAGCAGAGAGAAAAACUAAACCUCGGUCUAACGAACAGAUCCUGAAAGAGUGACGUUCCCGUCAGAGCAGGAGCUGCACACUCUGAGGCUUAUUUGUGUUUUUGAGCAUCCUGCUCUGACUCUUAAUGAGCUUACCUAACAGGAGACCACGGGGCGUUCCUGUGUGUCUUCCUCUUACGUAAGAMUCCACCCAGGGGUCAGACGUCCUGCAGGCUGGGAUUAGAGGACACGAGGAGCAGGACACGGCUGCUGUGAGUCAAGACUACAUCAGGAUCAAAACAUAGACAUUUUAUUAAAGGGCCAAUUUUAUGUGUUUCUCAGGCAUACAUUUAAAUACUAUACCAUAAUAAAGUAUCUAUGUCACAUUUAG
Long non-coding RNA from Austrofundulus limnaeus, 877 nucleotides. RefSeq lists it as uncharacterized. The transcript has 3 exons. Lineage: Eukaryota; Metazoa; Chordata; Actinopteri; Cyprinodontiformes; Rivulidae. The record is from RefSeq and is a predicted model, not a curated record.